GCAUAUAAAGGAUAAUAGCUCAUCCCCUGGCCUUAGGAGCCAAAAACUCUUGGUGCAAAUCCAAGUAUAUGUA
RNAcentral lists this transfer RNA (73 nucleotides) under Lovettia sealii (Tasmanian whitebait). Its description in RNAcentral is "tRNA-Leu". The record is from RNAcentral. Lineage: Eukaryota; Metazoa; Chordata; Actinopteri; Galaxiiformes; Galaxiidae.